Molecule: long non-coding RNA, 412 nt
Organism: Exaiptasia diaphana
Lineage: Eukaryota; Metazoa; Cnidaria; Anthozoa; Actiniaria; Aiptasiidae
Exons: 3
Source: RefSeq, a predicted model, not a curated record
CGAAGGAUUAACAUCCGAAACGUCAUGUUCAAUUCGUCUAUACCUUCCUCAAUUUAUUUUUCGGUCGUAUUUGGACUCCCUUUUGUACUUACGUAACGGUCUUAGCCGCUGGAACACUCGACAAUCCUCGACAAUAUCCAACAACAGACCCAGUCUCAAUCAGCCAGCAACAACAGACCCAGUCUCAAUCAGCCAACAACAACAGACCCAGUCUCAAUCAGCCAACAACAACAGACCCAGUCUCAAUCAGCCAACAACAACAGACCCAGUCUCAAUCAGCCAACAACAACAGACCCAGUCUCAAAUAGAUUCAUUCACAAGUUUCUUUUAUUUGACAAUCAGUUCACUUCUAUAAAAAUAUAUCUCUGAGUCCAUCAGAAAAAAGAAACAGUUAGGGAAGUGUGUCUCUUCA